RNAcentral lists this small RNA (127 nucleotides) under Marmota monax (woodchuck). Lineage: Eukaryota; Metazoa; Chordata; Mammalia; Rodentia; Sciuridae. The record is from RNAcentral.
GCCAGGUGUGGUGGCGCACACCUGUAAUCCCAGCAGCUCUGGAGGCUGAGGCAGGAGGAUUGUGAGUUCGAGGCCAGCCUCAGCAACUUACUGAGGCCCUAAGCAACUUAGAGAGACCCUGACUCUU